CUACAUACAACCGCUCAAAUAUAGGUUUAAGAACAUUUCGAUGUCACCUAUAUAUGGCGUGACUUAUAAUU
Molecule: small RNA, 71 nt
Filed under: Staphylococcus haemolyticus
Lineage: Bacteria; Bacillati; Bacillota; Bacilli; Caryophanales; Staphylococcaceae
Source: RNAcentral